Manis pentadactyla (Chinese pangolin) is the source of this 854-nucleotide long non-coding RNA. RefSeq lists it as uncharacterized. Lineage: Eukaryota; Metazoa; Chordata; Mammalia; Pholidota; Manidae. The transcript is spliced from 3 exons. The record is from RefSeq and is a predicted model, not a curated record.
GGUCUCCAGUCCUGCACGGAUCACUUUGAUUCAGUUCAAGGAAUCUGAGUAGGGGAGCCUUGGAGAAGAGCAAGAAUCUCUUUCUGACCUGGGUUUACCUCUUCACCAGAGAUGCUAUGAGCUCAGUGCCAUCAUCCGUGUGUUGUGGAAGGGACUGUGAGGGGCUGUGCUACUCUAUAUUCCGGGAGAUCAGCCAGUCUAUGAAGCUCCUCAAAAUGCACAGCACCACUGACUUAACUUGUUAAUGAACUGGAACUUCACACCUGCUCCCAGGAGUCCCCAAGAGGCCCUAUGAAGUAGAAACACAGCUGAAACGGCCUGGGGAUUGCUGGCUGAUUUUUAAAUCCUCAGCUUUCGUGUUGGUCACACAUAUAUUCACAUUCCCAAAUGAAAUAUAUCUUUGUGCAAGAGCACAGAGGGUGAGUGAAGCUGGCAGCUUGGCUCACAGAUGCUUUUAUGCUCCUGUGCACACACCCCCACCCUUAAUUGCUAUUUAAAUCCAGAAAGGCAUGCAUCUGUGACUCUCCCUAUAUAUUAGUAGUGAAAUGCGAGUGUGAACCUAGCAAUUUUGAGUUAGUCUAUAGGUGGCCAGGUAGAAAACUUUGGCUUGAAGGCUGGGGAGUACUCAUGUGCACACAUCCAGCCUGUGUAUACAUCGGCUCUGAUGCCUCUGUUUGCCAAGUAAUAUGCUUUCUCUUGGUGUUACUUAAAUGGAUCAAGAUUUAUGUUCAUCACGAAGAAUUUCUUUAACUGCUCAGUAUUUAAAAUAUUUAAUCUCAUUAAGAAUGUAUAUAUAUUUUAUAGCUUAUACAUAAGACUUUAGAAUAAGUAAUAUUCUAAAAAGUUUCUAGAAG